GCUUGUCCGACAGACCGGGGAGUCGCUCUGGAAGCCGCUGCGCCGAACAGGUCUCGGAUGUUUUUCUUCUCUCUGAGCCGCUGAAAUCGUCCUAUCCAGCCAGGUGUGACUAGGAGGCCGUCCUCCUCUUGGUUCUCAACAUUUCUCUGACAACCUCUGACUGUCAAACCCUCCAGCAUCACCAGAGAGAGGACAGACAGAGCUUUCUCCACAGCUUGACUCGUCACCGGACGUCCCGC
Molecule: long non-coding RNA, 239 nt
Organism: Myripristis murdjan (pinecone soldierfish)
Lineage: Eukaryota; Metazoa; Chordata; Actinopteri; Holocentriformes; Holocentridae
Exons: 3
Source: RefSeq, a predicted model, not a curated record